RNAcentral lists this unclassified non-coding RNA (475 nucleotides) under Athalia rosae (coleseed sawfly). Its description in RNAcentral is "misc RNA ENSAEAG00005003612.1". Lineage: Eukaryota; Metazoa; Arthropoda; Insecta; Hymenoptera; Athaliidae. The record is from RNAcentral.
GGCUGAACUGUUUUGCUGUCCCACGGUAGAGAUAUGUUGCUUAUAACUCCGGAGAUAAGCUUCUGAUAAGAGUUAAAAUCCUAUUACGAUUUAAAUUUCAUUCCUGACCAAAGUCGAUUGGCACUUUAUGUCCGCGUGAAGCGAUGAAAUUCACCGUCUGUAGAUGAUUCGUACAGAAUUUUCAAGGAGCCAUAAAUAGCCUUUUGAAUACAUAUCUGUGGAUUAAAUAAAUUGGUGAGGUGACAGGGAAGUUAUGUGAAUGGAAAAGAUUCCCGCGUGGAUUGCGGCCGCCCUGUUUAAUGACGAGAGAAAUGGGUAUUGUUCGUCGGCGUGAAGACAGCGGGAUCAGAAUUUCGAAUAUGCAUCGAUCAUUUUGAUCCAAAAUUAAUUUGGGAUACAUUGUGGAUGUAUCUAUGAAUAGAGAUAGGCGUAACUGUCAAUAGUCCAGAACGAUUAUAUAUUUGUUAUACUGAUG